GCGAAUGGCUCAUUAAAUCAGUUAUCGUUUAUUUGAUAGUACCUUACUACUUGGAUAACCGUGGUAAUUCUAGAGCUAAUACAUGCUGAAAACCCCAACUUCGGGAGGGGUGUAUUUAUUAGAUAAAAAACCAACGCCCUUCGGGGCUUCUUGGUGAUUCAUGAUAACUUUACGGAUCGCAUGGCCUUGCGCCGGCGACGGUUCAUUCAAAUUUCUGCCCUAUCAACUUUCGAUGGUAAGGUAUUGGCUUACCAUGGUUUCAACGGGUAACGGGGAAUUAGGGUUCGAUUCCGGAGAGGGAGCCUGAGAAACGGCUACCACAUCCAAGGAAGGCAGCAGGCGCGCAAAUUACCCAAUCCCGACACGGGGAGGUAGUGACAAUAAAUACUGAUACAGGGCUCUUUUGGGUCUUGUAAUUGGAAUGAGUACAAUUUAAACCUCUUAACGAGGAACAAUUGGAGGGCAAGUCUGGUGCCAGCAGCCGCGGUAAUUCCAGCUCCAAUAGCGUAUAUUAAAGUUGUUGCAGUUAAAAAGCUCGUAGUUGAACCUUGGGUCUGGCUGGCAGGUCCGCCUCACCGCGUGUACUUGUCCGGCCGGGCCUUCCUUCUGGAGAACCUCAUGCCCUUCACUGGGCGUGUUGGGGACCAGGACUUUUACUUUGAAAAAAUUAGAGUGUUCAAAGCAGGCCUUUGCUCGAAUACGUUAGCAUGGAAUAAUAGAAUAGGACGUGCGGUCCUAUUUUGUUGGUUUCUAGGACCGCCGUAAUGAUUAAUAGGGACAGUCGGGGGCAUCAGUAUUCAAUUGUCAGAGGUGAAAUUCUUGGAUUUAUUGAAGACUAACUACUGCGAAAGCAUUUGCCAAGGAUGUUUUCAUUAAUCAGUGAACGAAAGUUAGGGGAUCGAAGACGAUCAGAUACCGUCGUAGUCUUAACCGUAAACUAUGCCGACUAG
RNAcentral lists this ribosomal RNA (950 nucleotides) under Phaeosphaeriopsis aloes. RNAcentral's name for it is "SSU rRNA". It matches the Rfam family "Eukaryotic small subunit ribosomal RNA", at positions 89 to 1049 of the family's 1831-position model. The record is from RNAcentral. Lineage: Eukaryota; Fungi; Ascomycota; Dothideomycetes; Pleosporales; Phaeosphaeriaceae. RNAcentral also lists the same sequence under 1 other name.